RNAcentral lists this transfer RNA (74 nucleotides) under Deltaproteobacteria bacterium. RNAcentral describes it as "tRNA-Pro". It matches the Rfam family "tRNA". From Rfam's summary of the family: Transfer RNA (tRNA) molecules are approximately 80 nucleotides in length. Their secondary structure includes four short double-helical elements and three loops (D, anti-codon, and T loops). Lineage: Bacteria; Pseudomonadati; Myxococcota; Myxococcia. The record is from RNAcentral.
CGGAAUGUAGCGCAGUCUGGUAGCGCACCUGCUUUGGGAGCAGGGGGUCGCAGGUUCGAGCCCUGCCAUUCCGA